GGAGGGUGACCCCAGUGGGCAGGACUGCACACGCCCAGUUGCAUCCAGGAGAACGAGCUCCGUGGGAGGGUGAUCCUGGCACCUAGUGGAUGGAGACCGGGGUCAGUCAUGCUAAACUUCUCAUAAUACACCAAACAGCCCCCGUGUCCCCCCCACAGGAAUUAUCUGGCCCACGGGUCGGGAGCUGAGAAGCCCGGCAGGAAGGCAGUUUCCAGGUGAUUCCGGGCGCUUGGAGGUUUGCGAGCCGCAGCUUGCAUGACUGUCUCCGUCGGAAGGGGAGCUGGCAGUUCUGUCCGUUUACAGACGGCAGAGAGGAGCUGGGGAGGAGGGCGUGGUGUCGUGUCUCGGAGGUGACGGCUGUGUGACAGUGAGAUCGCACGUUCUUGACAGCAGAGAUCGUGCUUGAAGUUUCCUCCCCGCGUUGACAAGGAUGCAGAGACGGCGUUGACCGGGCCGUUGCUCACGGUGUCCGCUGCAACGCAGGUUGUGCUCGAUGCACAGCACAGUGUCGUUAGUUUUGAUCACCAUCCAUGACGUCCCUGGCACUUGUUCAUCUUAUCGCCGGAAGUUCGUGCCUUUUUGACCAACCCCGUUUCUGUCUGGAGCGAAACGUAACGGUAAAAUGCAGGCGUCAAGCAGCUGGAAAACGAGCCUCAGGUUUUCGGGAGGGAACCCCUCCCUCGCGGGUCUGUUGUCUCUUUUUAGGCACCUGGAAAGUCGCUCGUGGCCAACGCCUUAGAAGCCACUUAGGAAGGAACCAGACUUGACUUUCUGUUCUGCCGCCUGGAUGUGUGGAGGCGUCUUGAGUCUCAGCUCCUGCCCGUUACCAUCUUUUGCAGACAGUGGGGCGAGGUCGGGAGCAGGGGCGUGGGUAGCGAGCGGAGUAAUGGUGGGACGAUGCGCAGUGUAGGGCACGAGUUAGAAGACGUGCUUUCGAGGACAAACAGUACCAUUUCGGCAACCGGCUAGGUGUCCCACCUGUGACUCCGACCGUGUGACCGAGAGAGGUCACUUAUCUCCAUCCGGCCACAGGACAGUGUCUCAGCUCAACUCUACGGAGUGUGCUCUCCGGAAGCCUCGUGGAGGUGAUAGUUUCCACAGGAACCGACAUCGUCAGAUAAGCAACCGCCAAGUUCCCCGGACGGUUCUGUCCUCUGUCAGGGGUCAGGUGUCCAGGACUUCCCUGCCUGCUCUGACUUCCUGCUGGGUACCUGCCCUCACGUCCACCUGUGCAGCACGUGUAACGGGCCAUGAAGACUUGUGGAGACGAGUCAGUCCUCCUGUGUGGAGGCUGGGCUUAUUUGAGCCAGGGUCAGCCGGUGACUGUCCUCAGGCAUGAUGUGCGGGAUUAAAUUGGGGUAGAUCCAUAUAACUUAAGGUUGUCACAUGUAAAUUUUUUGUUGCAAUAUGCAGACUGAUGUCUCUUGGGGAAGAUCCCUUGAGUGGGAACAGAAUUAUCGAAUUUUAGUCCUGGUGCUGUCGUUAACCACCCGUGUGACAGUGGCCUCGAGAGGAUCAAGCUGGCGUCCCUGCCAACUGAGAUGCUGGCAGAAUGCUGUCGUGGCUGCCCCAGGACCGCGUGGCCAACCCGUUGUCCGUGGCUGUCACCGUGUUGACAGACGAGUGCGGGCAUUGCCCGGCCACUCGUGGUGGCGGUAAAAAUUACAUCACGGCGCCAUCCAGGGUCCGGAACGCUGUGCUGGGGAUCUUGUCACCUUAUAAGGAAUUCUCGACAGUGAUUACGUUCGCUGUGACUUCUAGUGAGUGCACGGCUCUGGGGAGGAACCGGAAAAGGGUCACCUCCCAGCAUAUUCCAGCCUGCGGGCUCGUCUCGUGACGACGUGUGCGAGCUGUCCCUGACCUAGCGUGCGAGGUAAGGGCGCAUGUGAGCUCGUCAGAGGAAGUCACGUUCAGACACUGCGUCUACAUAGAAGUAGGGAGCACGGGUGGGUCACCUUGACCGCGGCGUCCUCGUUCCUUUGGAAGAUGCACGAGCUCGCACUGUGGCGGCCGGCACCACGGGUGGAGGGGUUUUUCCCUUUUUUUUUUUUCCUGAAACGUCCAUGGAGAAUCCACUCCGAGACUGAUCAACUUACUUUUUUAAGCAAAACAAAACAAGGUGAUUUUUUGUACUGUUAGGAGGUUUGGCGUAAGAGUCAUUAUUGCAGGUUGGCGACCCUUGUGCAUUUAGGGGGGGCUCCGCUCCCUUUGGGGAGGACUCCUCGCUCGAUAAGCUCGGUUCCUGCGGCGUCUGGCUUAGGACGGGCGUCCGGGAGAGCGGCCGUGUCGCGCUGUGGCUGCCUGUCAGGCUUGCUCAGACUCCGGAAGACGUUUCUGCCUUUAGCCCUCUUGUUUUUCUUUAUUUUUUUGUUCAUUUGCUUUCCUGGAAACGUUUCCAUAUCUGGUCCGAGAGGAGGUCUCAGACAGGAAGAGCGCGAACAGGCCGCUUCCUAACCAGCCGUCGAUUCUUGCCCUAAAUGGUGCAUUUCUGCCCCUCUAUUUCUCUCCUAAAAAAUGGGGAUGCAUUCCGGAGCUGCUCCUGAGUGUCCCCUUCGUCCUCC
Molecule: long non-coding RNA, 2561 nt
Organism: Pteropus alecto (black flying fox)
Lineage: Eukaryota; Metazoa; Chordata; Mammalia; Chiroptera; Pteropodidae
Exons: 3
Source: RefSeq, a predicted model, not a curated record